CCGCCCCAAAUCCUGCCCAGGGACCCGCGCAGCUUCAUGGGGGUCAUCGGUCAGUGCGACCCCUCCCCAAAUUCACCUGAUACCCCUAACCCAUCCCCUGGGACCCUAUAACCACCUGGGACCCCCAAAUCCUCUCCAAAUCCCCUCCCGAACCCCCCAAAACUGCCCAGACCCCUCCCCAAAUUCAUCCCAAAUCCAGAGGGGGAAAAAGAGGGGCUGGGAAGGCGAUUUGGGGGCGGAUUUUGGGUGGAGUUUUGGGGGAAUUUGGGGGAAUUUCGAGAUUUUGGGGAUUUUGUGGGGAUCUCAGGACCCCCCGGGAUCCCUCCCCAGACCAGGCCACCCUGGAGGAAGCUUCCAGCAAUUUCCGCCGGACGCUGAACAGGGUCAUGACCCAGGACCUGCAAGAUGGGCAGAUUCACCAGGAGCUGCUCUGGGCCAUGAGAGAGAUCAAGGAGGACUUCGAGCGGCUCAUGAAGCGUUUCCAGAGCCAGGUUUAUUGCCCCAAUAAAUGCGGGCGGAUGGAGGUGCUGUGGAUCGAGUGCAUCUUCUGCAACCUGACCCGCUUCG
This 567-nucleotide long non-coding RNA is filed under the name Zonotrichia albicollis (white-throated sparrow). RNAcentral describes it as "lncRNA (ENSZALG00000000271.1)". Lineage: Eukaryota; Metazoa; Chordata; Aves; Passeriformes; Passerellidae. The record is from RNAcentral.